Perca fluviatilis (European perch) is the source of this 486-nucleotide long non-coding RNA. RefSeq lists it as uncharacterized. The transcript has 4 exons. NCBI's taxonomy places the organism in Eukaryota, Metazoa, Chordata, Actinopteri, Perciformes, Percidae. The record is from RefSeq and is a predicted model, not a curated record.
AGAAGCUUGGCUGUGUGAAAUGAAUGAAGCUAGCUAAACUAAAUUAACUACAUGUUAGCAGAGAGUAAAACAAUAAGUGUUUGCGCUGUGCGGUAUGUUCUGUUACUAUUUGUUGUUCGGUUAAAGCGAGCGAAGGUGGAAGUUGGCUGUGACGCAGAAAACGGUCACAACAUUACGGACUGCAGUGGGCGUGGAGUUGUUUUGACAAGACCGACAUACACCUAUACACCUGAUGAACAGGAGCGGUCAUAGCUUCCCAUUCGGCGGUUAAGGGGAAAUUUAAGGGAAACUUAAAGCUGACGUUAGCUUCCGGCAAAAAGACAUUUCUCUAAGCCACCGACCAAUACUAGGCCUAUUCACAUCUUUCCAAGCAAGAUAAAUCAACCGUUUGCUUGCAGUAAACACAUAUCUUGAUCCAAGAGGGGAAACAAGGUACCCGCUGGCACUGAAUAGUCUCUCAGAUGGAACACUGGUUGCUGGGAUACA